RNAcentral lists this ribosomal RNA (255 nucleotides) under uncultured bacterium. Its description in RNAcentral is "partial 16S ribosomal RNA". It matches the Rfam family "Bacterial small subunit ribosomal RNA", at positions 524 to 776 of the family's 1533-position model. The record is from RNAcentral.
UACGUAGGGUGCGAGCGUUGUCCGGAAUUAUUGGGCGUAAAGAGCUCGUAGGCGGUCUGUCGCGUCGAUCGUGAAAACUUGGGGCUUAACCCUGAGCUUGCGGUCGAUACGGGCGUGACUGGAGUUCGGCAGGGGAGACUGGAAUUCCGUGGUGUAGCAGUGAAAUGCGUAGAGAUGUGGAGGAACACCGAUGGCGAAGGCAGCCUCCUGGGCCAACACUGACGCUCAUGCACGAAAGCGUGGGGAGCAAACAGG